AGCGGCGUAGGGUAGCCAGGUAUCCCGCGGGGCUCAUAGGGUGUUUCUCCUGAGACACCCCGAGAUCCCAGGUUCAAAUCCUGGCGCCGCUA
Molecule: transfer RNA, 92 nt
Filed under: Stygiolobus caldivivus
Lineage: Archaea; Thermoproteati; Thermoproteota; Thermoprotei; Sulfolobales; Sulfolobaceae
Description: Stygiolobus sp. KN-1 tRNA-iMet
Rfam family: tRNA
About the family: Transfer RNA (tRNA) molecules are approximately 80 nucleotides in length. Their secondary structure includes four short double-helical elements and three loops (D, anti-codon, and T loops).
Source: RNAcentral